Molecule: ribosomal RNA, 468 nt
Filed under: uncultured bacterium
Lineage: Bacteria
Description: partial 16S ribosomal RNA
Rfam family: Bacterial small subunit ribosomal RNA
Source: RNAcentral
GACGAACGCUGGCGGCGUGCUUAACACAUGCAAGUCGAACGGAAAGGCCCUGCUUUUGUGGGGUGCUCGAGUGGCGAACGGGUGAGUAACACGUGAGUAACCUGCCCUUGACCUUGGGAUAACUUCAGGAAACUGGGGCUAAUACCGGAUAGGAGCUCCUGCUGCAUGGUGGGGGUUGGAAAGUUUCGGCGGUUGGGGAUGGACUCGCGGCUUAUCAGCUUGUUGGUGGGGUAGUGGCUUACCAAGGCUUUGACGGGUAGCCGGCCUGGGAGGGUGACCGGCCACAUUAGGACUGAGAUACGGCCCAGACUCCUACGGGAGGCAGCAGAGGGGAAUAUUGCACAAUGGGCGGAAGCCUGAUGCAGCAACGCCGCGUGCGGGAUGACGGCCUUCGGGUUGUAAACCGCUGUCGCCUGUGACGAAGCGUGAGUGACGGUAAUGGGUAAAGAAGCACCGGCUAACUACGUG